Molecule: ribosomal RNA, 253 nt
Filed under: uncultured bacterium
Lineage: Bacteria
Description: partial 16S ribosomal RNA
Rfam family: Bacterial small subunit ribosomal RNA
Source: RNAcentral
GACGGAGGGGGCAAGCGUUGUCCGGACUCACUGGGCGUAAAGCGUACGUAGGCGGACGAGUGCGUCGCUGCUCAAAGCGCCAGGCUUAACCUGGCGAGGCGUGGCGAUACGACUCAUCUCGAGGCAGGCAGAGGAUGGCGGAAUUCCGGGUGUAGUGGUGAAAUGCGUAGAUAUCCGGAGGAACGCCUGUGGCGCAAGCGGCCAUCUGGGCCUGACCUGACGCUGAGGUACGAAAGCGUGGGGAGCAAACCGG